RNAcentral lists this transfer RNA (85 nucleotides) under Felis catus (domestic cat). It matches the Rfam family "tRNA". From Rfam's summary of the family: Transfer RNA (tRNA) molecules are approximately 80 nucleotides in length. Their secondary structure includes four short double-helical elements and three loops (D, anti-codon, and T loops). Lineage: Eukaryota; Metazoa; Chordata; Mammalia; Carnivora; Felidae. The record is from Rfam by way of RNAcentral.
GCCCUGGUGGUUUAGUCAGUUAAGCGUCUGACUUUGGCUCAGGUCACGAUCUCGCAAUUCGUGGGUUCGAGCCCCACGUUGGGCU